AGCCAGCAUGGCGUAAUGGUUUGAGUGUUGGACUACAGCUGUGGAGACCAGGGUUCGAAUCCAAGUUUGGUUA
Non-coding RNA from Phrynosoma platyrhinos (Desert horned lizard), 73 nucleotides. The record is from the annotation of a GenBank genome assembly. NCBI's taxonomy places the organism in Eukaryota, Metazoa, Chordata, Lepidosauria, Squamata, Phrynosomatidae.